UCGUGAAAGGAAGAGUCUAUUCAUUGAGAGUCCACGUUUACCUCUGCUCCGAUACUUCGUCUGCUGUUGAUGGGUUUUAGUUAGAGAGUCAGUGGUGCUCGGCCGCGGAGACGUAAUAAACAUAACUUUACAGUAAAAAUAAUUUAUUGUAAGUGCGAGAAAGUGAAAGGGAAGAGGAGUGAGAUAGCGAGAGAGAGAGAGGAAGAGACACGACAAUGCUUUCUUUUUCUGCUCUCUAUUUUAUAAAGCAUAAAUAACUUUGUAGGUUAUAACAUUUUGAAAAGUUCUUGCAGUAUGCAAAUUGUGUUGUGAAGGAUACAGUGAAAGUUGUGUUUUUGUGACACAAAAUAUUUGGAAUGAAAACAAGUGCAAGAUAUUCAGGAAUUACAAGAUGUGAUAUUCUUGGAUUCAAAUCAGAGUAGAUGGAUUGGACUGCAGUGCUCUCUGCAGAUAAUUACACCAGUAGGCUAUUAUGUUAUGAUUCUGAUAAAUCUAUCAAGCAAAUUACUAAGCAGCCGCUCAGGCCAAUGAAGCUCAGUACAUUCACUUCGGGUCAGUGAUUUCACGCUUGAAUGUAGACCAUAAGAAGAAACAGAAAGAUAUUAUGGGCAGCAUUGAUGGGAUAGUCAUUGAUUGCCAUGAUGACAAUUGUACACAUUUGACUGCCACGACUGCAUCUUCUACAAGCAAGAUAAUUUCUGCACUAACAGCUGGAAUACCGAUUGUUGAUAUCAAUCAUUGGACAUCAGUUUUAAAUGCUAUAAAUGCAGAUGAAAAUCUACCAGAUCUUGACUUGUUUACUCUUCCACUGUAAGAUAAAGGUAUUAAUACCAAGACGCUGCUACUACACAGUAUAGCCGAGUUUCAGGUCAAGAUGGAGCACCUGCACUCUAAAUACAUUAACAGCCAGGAGGAAAUACAGCUGCUGUCUUAUCAGUUGGUACAGCUUACCGAAGGAGCAGUCAAGGUUCAGCAAAGCACAAAAACUACAGUUUUUGAUUGUUGACGAAGUUCUUCCAUUCAACAUGACUGUCUAUCAAGCUGUGAGACAGUUCAGCUGUUCAGGCAUUGAUCAUUCAGAGGCUAAUGCCGAUAGUGAACCUCUACUUGGCCAUGAUGCAGUUUGGGUUCAGACUCACACAAUAUAUUAUAAGCCUGUGCCUGAAGAACAGUCAUCUGCAUAGUCGAACCAGGUUCACAAUCCAGCAGUCGUAAAGGCAAGGGAAAAGUGGUUCAAAGAGGAAGGAGGAUAGCCUCUGGCUUGAAGGAACGAUACUUCAGCAACGAUGUCCAUUGAAUUCAUUCUUGACUCCGAGUUUAACACCAGUGGUGACGACAGGAGAUGCCUCCUUAGAUGGCUUAUGCUUAUUACGCCUCCUGUAUGCCCUGAAUCGCGACUGGGGAAUUCUUUUCCCGCAUGUCAAGAGUAUCAAUUUGCUGUAUUCGCAAGAAUUUAUCAACAAUAAAAUUGCGGCCAAAGCUAGUAGGGAACUUCAGGAUCCUCUGGAUACAAACCGGAAAUACAAACCAAACUAGAAAUACAAACUAGAGUACGGUACUUUUGAGCUGUAUUGAACAUGCUAUGACAACUACUUGUGAAAAAAAUGAGUUUUUUUUAUAAAUGCUAAAAGAAUAUUUUUAUAGAAAACAUAUUUUUCUUAUAAUUUGACGAAUCAUAAUUUUAUAAAAUAUUAAAAUACUUUUUUUACAACUGCUAUUUAUUGUUAAAAUAAAAUUUUAUAAGUGCUAAACCAUGCUUUUUACAAAUUCAUGAAUGUAUAUCAUUGUUAAGACAUAAUAAUAAAUCAUUUUUCUUUAAAAAUAA
Molecule: long non-coding RNA, 1825 nt
Organism: Nasonia vitripennis (jewel wasp)
Lineage: Eukaryota; Metazoa; Arthropoda; Insecta; Hymenoptera; Pteromalidae
Exons: 4
Source: RefSeq, a predicted model, not a curated record